Non-coding RNA from Oryctolagus cuniculus (rabbit), 1641 nucleotides. Lineage: Eukaryota; Metazoa; Chordata; Mammalia; Lagomorpha; Leporidae. The record is from RefSeq and is a predicted model, not a curated record.
AGCACGGCGGGUGGGAGAGACGCGCACCCAGACGCCCACCGUCACCUGUGGCCGAGCACCGGGCAUGGCCCCGGGACAUGCAUGGCCCUUGUUGUCCCCUAGCUCUGUGCUCCCGUCCUCGCCAGCGCACACACAGCGAUGACAAAGUGCUGUGGGCGAUGAGCGCCCAGGAGCCCAGGAGGCUCCCCGUGGCCGGGUUUGGGAGCCUUGUGAGUUCCCGCCUUUCAGGAGCUGCAGCUCUCUUGCAAGUGUGUGGGGCCCAUAAAGCCAUGGUCAGAGCCCCCUGGGAAUAGCCCAGGUUCCGACGGGCCGAUGUCACCAGUGACACAGACAAUGCAUUGGCCUGGGUGUGCUGGUCCCUGGGGCGGUGCCCAGCUUCACAGUCCCCACCCACGCAGCAACCACUCCAGGUGCCUCAAAGACCCAAUCAGGGGCAGGAGCUCUGUCUACACUGUAUCAGACCCAGGUGCACAGGGGGCAGGAGCUCUGUCUACACUGUAUCAGACCCAGGUGCACAGGGGCAGGAGCCCUGGUCUACACUGUAUCAGACCCAGGUAACAGGAGUAGGAGCCCUGGUCUACACUGUAUCAGACCCAGGUAACAGGAGUAGGAGCCCUGGUCUACACUGUAUCAGACCCAGGUACACAGGGCAGGAGUUCUGUCUACACUGUAGUUCAGACCCAGGUAACAGGGCCAGGAGCCCUGGUCUACACUGUAUCAGACCAGGUGCACAGCGGCAGGAGCCCUGGUCUACACUGUAUCAGACCCAGGUGCACAGGGGCAGGAGCUCUGUCUACACUGUAUCAGACCCAGGCACAUAGGGGCAGGAGUCCUGGUCUACACUGUAUCAGACCCAGUUACACAGGGGGCAGGAGCCCUGGUCUACACUGUAUCAGACUCAGGUGCACAGGAGUAGGAGCCCUGGUCUACACUGUAUCAGACCCAGGUACACAGGGGCAGGAGCUCUGUCUACACUGCAUCAGACCCAGGCACACAGGGGCAAGAGCCCUGGUCUACACUGUAUCAGACCUAGGUACUCAGGGGCAGGAGCCCUGGUCUACACUGUAUCAGACCCAGGUACACAGGGGCAGGAGCCCUGGUCUACACUGUAUCAGACCCAGGUACUCAGGGGCAGGAGCCCUGGUCUACACUGUAUCAGACCCAGGUGCACAGGGCCAGGAGCUCUGUCUACACUAUAGUUCAGACCCAGGUACAUUGUUUAGGAGCCAGCAAGGUGCCUGCCUGGGGUUCCCAACACCUGUGCACGCCCACACCGAACAAUCAGAAGGCAGCGUGUGUGGUCUUCAAGACCCCAGCGUGCUUUGUCCCGGGUUGGAAGGACCAGGGCCCCGGACACGUGUCACCUAAUGCUCCCUAGCCGUCAGUCUCGCCCUUAUCUCUGGCCACCAACAGGCGCGUGGCCCCGUGGGCAGGAUCCAUAGCAUUCAGAUCCAGUUCCCCCACUGUGGGGUCUCCUGGGGGAAGCAAGGCUGGCGAGCCGUGCGGCCGAGCUCUGGGUGCGAGGUUCGCCCGUGCUGGGGAGAAGGGAGGGAGCCAGGCCAGGCACCGUGGGCGACCCCGUCCUUGAGCCAGGACCCGAGCAGCGGCCACCGCGGGACCUCCUCAUGACACCUGUGCCUU